Non-coding RNA from Cyanistes caeruleus (blue tit), 1232 nucleotides. Lineage: Eukaryota; Metazoa; Chordata; Aves; Passeriformes; Paridae. The record is from RefSeq and is a predicted model, not a curated record.
CUUUCCUGAGAGUUAAAACCCUAGUUGCAUGCUGACCAGCUCUUGGCUCUUCACAGUUACCCACUGUCAACUCCAAAAUCUGUAGCAGAUUAAGAAAGCACAAGUUGAGGACAGCCCAAAGUAAAGAGAAUAAGAAUUAUGACAAAUAUUGCAGAGAAUAUAAUUCCCUUUUUAUUCGGUGCUUUGGCAGAGUUUCCAUUCUGAGAUGCUAGAAGAACAGAGAAAAAAACCCAGAGGAAUCAGGGAGAACUCAUAUUAAAAUACAGUGCACCUUGAUUUGAGCCUUUAUGAUCUCUUCAAAACACAACUCUGCAAACAGAGUGCAAGUAUAAAGUGUGGUUUGAGGAAAAAAAAAAACAAACAAAAAGUAAGAAUAUAUCACACCAGUCAAUCUCUAUUUCAGGAAGUGAAGCAAAGUCCGCAGCAAAGUGGGCCUCCCAGAAAUACUCUGCCACCCACAGCAUUGUGUAACCUUCCUUUGGUGUGAAACAUGGCUGGGCUUAGCUCCUGCUAGCAGCAGUUAGCUAGACCCCAUGCAACCUUGCUGAAAGUUAAAGAAACAACAAACAAAUGCUGUUAUUUCCCUCCCUCUGCAAAAGUGUGUCUGAUUAAACUCCUUUUACAAAGCCCUACAACAGCAGAAAUGAGUCCUGCAGUUUCUGAUAGGAAAACUGCUGGCUCCACACCCCACCAGAGGGAAUGGAAAGGCCAAUUUGCUUGAGAGCUGUUCAUGUUUUGGAUCUUGCCUCUUUUUGGAGCUUUUGACCUUUAUUGUCCUACUUUAUUAUCUGGGAUUUUUUACCCAUUUCUCUUAUUUUCUCCCAUCAGCCAGUUUUCUUUGUUUCUUUCUACUCACAGUUUCCAAAACUGAACAAACAAGGACUGGACAUGGUCAGGCUCCUCUAGGAUGAUUUUCAGUUCCAGGAAGAGCAUGCAGCAGAUGAACAUGCAAAUGAGGAUGAAUUUUAAAGAAUCUAAGAAAGCAUGCUUCUGAAAUCAGCAGCGCACCUAGGUUCUGCUCUGCGGCUGGGACCCACCGGAGCGCGCUGCGGUGUGCCAGUGGGAGAAGCCUCAGGCAAGCUCCAGCCUCUCUCUGCAGGCUCCAGCCUCUCUCUGCAGGCUCUCUCGCUCUCGCUCUCUCUCUCUCUCUCUCUGCCACUGCCUCCGAGCUCGGCCCGAGCUCUGCCCGAGGCGGGGCCGACAGCGGGCCCCGCGCUGCCGCAAAGCGCGCC